GUUGUAUAGUCAAGUAAUUAAGUGCAUGUGGUGGAUGCCUUGGCAGUCAGAGGCGAUGAAAGACGUGAUAGCCUGCGAAAAGCUCCGGGGAGGCGGCAAAUAUCCUUUGAUCCGGAGAUGUCUGAAUGGGGGAACCCACCUACUUUAAGGUAGGUAUUGCAACAUGAAUACAUAGUGUUGCAAGGCGAACGAGGGGAAGUGAAACAUCUCAGUACCCUUAGGAAAAGAAAUCAAUUGAGAUUCCCUCAGUAGCGGCGAGCGAACGGGGAUCAGCCCAUUAAGUUAUGUGUGUUUUAGUGGAACGCUCUGGGAAGUGCGAACGUAGAGGGUGAUAUUCCCGUACACGAAAGGGCACACAUAAUGAUGACGAGUAGGGCGAGGCACGUGAAACCUUGUCUGAAUAUGGGGGGACCAUCCUCCAAGGCUAAAUACUCCUGACUGACCGAUAGUGAACCAGUACCGUGAGGGAAAGGCGAAAAGAACCCCUGUGAGGGGAGUGAAAUAGAUCCUGAAACCGCAUGCAUACAAGCAGUGGGAGCACCUUCGUGGUGUGACUGCGUACCUUUUGUAUAAUGGGUCAGCGACUUAUAUUCAGUAGCAAGGUUAACCGUAUAGGGGAGCCGUAGAGAAAUCGAGUCUUAAUAGGGCGUUUAGUUGCUGGGUAUAGACCCGAAACCAGGCGAUCUAUCCAUGAGCAGGUUGAAGGUUGGGUAACACUAACUGGAGGACCGAACCCACUGUCGUUGAAAAGCCAGGGGAUGACUUGUGGAUAGGGGUGAAAGGCUAAUCAAGCCUGGUGAUAGCUGGUUCUCCCCGAAAGCUAUUUAGGUAGCGCCUCGGACGAAUACCAUAGGGGGUAGAGCACUGUUUCGGCUAGGGGGUCAUCCCGACUUACCAAACCGAUGCAAACUCCGAAUACCUAUGAGUACUAUCCGGGAGACAGACUGCGGGUGCUAACGUCCGUAGUCAAGAGGAAAACAAUCCAGACCGCCAGCUAAGGCCCCAAAAUCAUAGUUAAGUGGGAAACGAUGUGGGAAGGCAUAGACAGCUAGGAGGUUGGCUUANNNNNNNNNNGAAGCAGCCACCCUUUAAAGAAAGCGUAAUAGCUCACUAGUCGAGUCGGCCUGCGCGGAAGAUGUAACGGGGCUAAAACUAUGUGCCGAAGCUGCGGAUGUAUACUUUGUAUACGUGGUAGGGGAGCGUUCUGUAAGCCGAUGAAGGUGUGUUGAGAAGCNAUGCUGGAGGUAUCAGAAGUGCGAAUGCUGACGUGAGUAACGACAAAACGGGUGAAAAACCCGUUCGCCGAAAGACCAAGGGUUCCAGUCCAACGUUAAUCGGGGCUGGGUGAGUCGACCCCUAAGGCGAGGCCGAAAGGCGUAGUCGAUGGGAAAAUGGUUAAUAUUCCAUUACUUCUGUGUAAUGCGAUGAGAGGACGGAGAAGGCUAAAUCAGCCUGGCGUUGGUUGUCCAGGUGAAAGGAUGUAGGCAUGUAUCUUAGGCAAAUCCGGGGUACUCUAUGCUGAGAUCUGAUAGCAAGCUGUACUUGUACAGCGAAGUGGUUGAUGCCAUGCUUCCAGGAAAAGUCUCUAAGCUUCAGUUACACAGGAAUCGUACCCGAAACCGACACAGGUGGUCAGGUCGAGUAGACCAAGGCGCUUGAGAGAACUCUGCUGAAGGAACUAGGCAAAAUGGUACCGUAACUUCGGGAGAAGGUACGCUGUUGUUGGUGAUGGAACUCGCUUCCUGAGCUGACGACAGCCGCAGAAACCAGGCCGCUGCAACUGUUUAUUAAAAACAUAGCACUCUGCAAACACGAAAGUGGACGUAUAGGGUGUGAUGCCUGCCCGGUGCUGGAAGGUUAAUUGAUGGGGUUAGCGUAAGCGAAGCUCUUGAUCGAAGCCCCAGUAAACGGCGGCCGUAACUAUAACGGUCCUAAGGUAGCGAAAUUCCUUGUCGGGUAAGUUCCGACCUGCACGAAUGGCAUAAUGAUGGCGGCGCUGUCUCCAGCAGAGGCUCAGUGAAAUCGAAAUCGCUGUGAAGAUGCAGUGUACCCGCGGCUAGACGGAAAGACCCCGUGAACCUUUACUGCAGCUUGACACUGAACUUUGACCUUACUUGUGUAGGAUAGGUGGGAGGCUUUGAAGCUGGAACGCUAGUUCCAGUGGAGCCGUCCUUGAAAUACCACCCUGGUAAUGUUGAGGUUCUAACUCUGUCCCGUGAUCCGGGACGAGGACCGUGUCUGGUGGGUAGUUUGACUGGGGCGGUCUCCUCCUAAAGAGUAACGGAGGAGUACGAAGGUGCGCUCAGCGUGGUCGGAAAUCACGCGUAGAGUAUAAAGGCAAAAGCGCGCUUAACUGCGAGACCCACAAGUCGAGCAGGUACGAAAGUAGGUCUUAGUGAUCCGGUGGUUCUGUAUGGAAGGGCCAUCGCUCAACGGAUAAAAGGUACUCUGGGGAUAACAGGCUGAUACCGCCCAAGAGUUCAUAUCGACGGCGGUGUUUGGCACCUCGAUGUCGGCUCAUCUCAUCCUGGGGCUGAAGCAGGUCCCAAGGGUAUGGCUGUUCGCCAUUUAAAGAGGUACGCGAGCUGGGUUUAGAACGUCGUGAGACAGUUCGGUCCCUAUCUACCGUGGGCGCUGGAAAUUUGAGAGGAUCUGCUCCUAGUACGAGAGGACCAGAGUGGACGAACCUCUGGUGUACCGGUUGUGACGCCAGUCGCAUCGCCGGGUAGCUAUGUUCGGAAGGGAUAACCGCUGAAAGCAUCUAAGCGGGAAGCCUACCUCAAGAUAAGAUUUCCCUAGGACUUUAUGUCCUCUAAAGAGCCGUUCGAGACUAGGACGUUGAUAGGUUGGAUGUGGAAGCAUAGUGAUAUGUGAAGCUGACCAAUACUAAUUGCUCGUGAGGCUUGACUAUACAACACCCAAGCAGUUG
Molecule: ribosomal RNA, 2929 nt
Filed under: Acinetobacter baumannii
Lineage: Bacteria; Pseudomonadati; Pseudomonadota; Gammaproteobacteria; Moraxellales; Moraxellaceae
Description: 23S ribosomal RNA
Rfam family: Bacterial large subunit ribosomal RNA
Source: RNAcentral